Molecule: ribosomal RNA, 468 nt
Filed under: uncultured bacterium
Lineage: Bacteria
Description: bacterial SSU rRNA
Rfam family: Bacterial small subunit ribosomal RNA
Source: RNAcentral
CUCCAGACUCCUACGGGAGGCAGCAGUGAGGAAUAUUGGUCAAUGGGCGCGAGCCUGAACCAGCCAAGUCGCGUGAGGGGGGACGGCCCUACGGGUUGUAAACCUCUUUUGCCGGGGAGCAACGGGCGUCACGUGUGGCGCCACUGAGAGUACCCGGAGAAAAAGCAUCGGCUAACUCCGUGCCAGCAGCCGCGGUAAUACGUAGGGGGCAAGCGUUAUCCGGAAUUACUGGGUGUAAAGGGAGCGCAGACGGCAGUGCAAGGCUGGAGUGAAAGCCCGUGGCUUAACUACGGGACUGCUCUGGAAACUGUGCAGCUAGAGUGCAGGAGAGGCAGGCGGAAUUCCUAGUGUAGCGGUGAAAUGCGUAGAUAUUAGGAGGAACACCGGUGGCGAAGGCGGCCUGCUGGACUGUAACUGACGUUGAGGCUCGAAAGCGUGGGGAGCAAACAGGAUUAGAUACCCCUGUAU